UAGCAAGUAGCUUAAUUGAUUGAGCGCUCCGUUGAUAAUGGAGAGGUUAUUGGUUUAAGCCCAAUCUUGCUAA
RNAcentral lists this transfer RNA (73 nucleotides) under Pseudocorticium jarrei. Its description in RNAcentral is "tRNA-Ile". It matches the Rfam family "tRNA". Rfam says of the family: Transfer RNA (tRNA) molecules are approximately 80 nucleotides in length. Their secondary structure includes four short double-helical elements and three loops (D, anti-codon, and T loops). Further hydrogen bonds mediate the characteristic L-shaped molecular structure. tRNAs have two regions of fundamental functional importance: the anti-codon, which is responsible for specific mRNA codon recognition, and the 3' end, to which the tRNAs corresponding amino acid is attached (by aminoacyl-tRNA synthetases). tRNAs cope with the degeneracy of the genetic code in two manners: having more than one tRNA (with a specific anti-codon) for a particular amino acid; and 'wobble' base-pairing, i.e. permitting non-standard base-pairing at the 3rd anti-codon position. The record is from RNAcentral. Lineage: Eukaryota; Metazoa; Porifera; Homoscleromorpha; Homosclerophorida; Oscarellidae.